GUGGGGAAUAUUGCACAAUGGGCGCAAGCCUGAUGCAGCCAUGCCGCGUGUGUGAAGAAGGCCUUCGGGUUGUAAAGCACUUUCAGCGAGGAGGAAGGUGGUGAACUUAAUACGUUCAUCAAUUGACGUUACUCGCAGAAGAAGCACCGGCUAACUCCGUGCCAGCAGCCGCGGUAAUACGGAGGGUGCAAGCGUUAAUCGGAAUUACUGGGCGUAAAGCGCACGCAGGCGGUUUGUUAAGUCAGAUGUGAAAUCCCCGGGCUCAACCUGGGAACUGCAUUUGAAACUGGCAAGCUAGAGUCUCGUAGAGGGGGGUAGAAUUCCAGGUGUAGCGGUGAAAUGCGUAGAGAUCUGGAGGAAUACCGGUGGCGAAGGCGGCCCCCUGGACGAAGACUGACGCUCAGGUGCGAAAGCGUGGGGAGCAA
Molecule: ribosomal RNA, 425 nt
Filed under: uncultured Serratia sp.
Lineage: Bacteria; Pseudomonadati; Pseudomonadota; Gammaproteobacteria; Enterobacterales; Yersiniaceae
Description: bacterial SSU rRNA
Rfam family: Bacterial small subunit ribosomal RNA
Source: RNAcentral